ACGGGUGAGUAACGCGUGGGAAUCUACCUAGUUCUACGGAACAACAGUUGGAAACGACUGCUAAUACCGUAUACGCCCUAAGGGGGAAAGAUUUAUCGGAAUUAGAUGAGCCCGCGUAAGAUUAGCUAGUUGGUGGGGUAAUGGCCUACCAAGGCGACCAUCUUUAGCUGGUCUGAGAGGAUGAUCAGCCACACUGGGACUGAGACACGGCCCAGACUCCUACGGGAGGCAGCAGUGGGGAAUAUUGGACAAUGGGCGCAAGCCUGAUCCAGCCAUGCCGCGUGAGUGAUGAAGGCCUUAGGGUUGUAAAGCUCUUUCAUUGGGGAAGAUAAUGACGGUACCCACAGAAGAAGCCCCGGCUAACUUCGUGCCAGCAGCCGCGGUAAUACGAAGGGGGCUAGCGUUGUUCGGAUUUACUGGGCGUAAAGCGCACGUAGGCCGAUUGGUCAGUUAGGGGUGAAAUCCUGGAACUCAACUCCCGAACUGCCUUUAAUACUGCCGGUCUCGAGUCCGGAAGAGGUAAGUGGAACUCCUAGUGUAGAGGUGGAAUUCAUACA
RNAcentral lists this ribosomal RNA (557 nucleotides) under Devosia sp. HRRP026. RNAcentral describes it as "bacterial SSU rRNA". It matches the Rfam family "Bacterial small subunit ribosomal RNA", at positions 102 to 694 of the family's 1533-position model. The record is from RNAcentral. Lineage: Bacteria; Pseudomonadati; Pseudomonadota; Alphaproteobacteria; Hyphomicrobiales; Devosiaceae.